RNAcentral lists this transfer RNA (73 nucleotides) under Nonomuraea deserti. Its description in RNAcentral is "Nonomuraea sp. KC310 tRNA-Lys". It matches the Rfam family "tRNA". From Rfam's summary of the family: Transfer RNA (tRNA) molecules are approximately 80 nucleotides in length. Their secondary structure includes four short double-helical elements and three loops (D, anti-codon, and T loops). Further hydrogen bonds mediate the characteristic L-shaped molecular structure. tRNAs have two regions of fundamental functional importance: the anti-codon, which is responsible for specific mRNA codon recognition, and the 3' end, to which the tRNAs corresponding amino acid is attached (by aminoacyl-tRNA synthetases). tRNAs cope with the degeneracy of the genetic code in two manners: having more than one tRNA (with a specific anti-codon) for a particular amino acid; and 'wobble' base-pairing, i.e. permitting non-standard base-pairing at the 3rd anti-codon position. The record is from RNAcentral. Lineage: Bacteria; Bacillati; Actinomycetota; Actinomycetes; Streptosporangiales; Streptosporangiaceae. RNAcentral also lists the same sequence under 1 other name.
ACCGCUCGCGCCCGGCUGGUCGGGCACCGGCCUUUUAAGCCGGAUUGGCAGGGUUCGAGCCCCUGGGGCGGUA